GGCGCCGUAGCCAAGUGGUAAGGCGGAGGUCUGCAAAACCUCUAUUCGGCAGUUCGAAUCUGCCCGGCGCCU
RNAcentral lists this transfer RNA (72 nucleotides) under Gemmatimonas sp. SG8_17. RNAcentral's name for it is "tRNA-Cys". It matches the Rfam family "tRNA". From Rfam's summary of the family: Transfer RNA (tRNA) molecules are approximately 80 nucleotides in length. Their secondary structure includes four short double-helical elements and three loops (D, anti-codon, and T loops). Further hydrogen bonds mediate the characteristic L-shaped molecular structure. tRNAs have two regions of fundamental functional importance: the anti-codon, which is responsible for specific mRNA codon recognition, and the 3' end, to which the tRNAs corresponding amino acid is attached (by aminoacyl-tRNA synthetases). tRNAs cope with the degeneracy of the genetic code in two manners: having more than one tRNA (with a specific anti-codon) for a particular amino acid; and 'wobble' base-pairing, i.e. permitting non-standard base-pairing at the 3rd anti-codon position. RNAcentral also lists the same sequence under 5 other names. Lineage: Bacteria; Pseudomonadati; Gemmatimonadota; Gemmatimonadia; Gemmatimonadales; Gemmatimonadaceae. The record is from RNAcentral.